UUGCCCAAUAGCCAAGCGGUAAGGCACCUGACUCUGACUCAGGCACUCCGUAGGUUCGAAUCCUGCUUGGGCAGCCAA
This 78-nucleotide transfer RNA is filed under the name Clostridium botulinum C str. Eklund. RNAcentral describes it as "tRNA-Gln". It matches the Rfam family "tRNA". Rfam says of the family: Transfer RNA (tRNA) molecules are approximately 80 nucleotides in length. Their secondary structure includes four short double-helical elements and three loops (D, anti-codon, and T loops). Lineage: Bacteria; Bacillati; Bacillota; Clostridia; Eubacteriales; Clostridiaceae. The record is from RNAcentral. RNAcentral also lists the same sequence under 1 other name.